This 465-nucleotide ribosomal RNA is filed under the name uncultured bacterium. RNAcentral's name for it is "partial 16S ribosomal RNA". It matches the Rfam family "Bacterial small subunit ribosomal RNA", at positions 28 to 507 of the family's 1533-position model. The record is from RNAcentral.
GACGAACGCUGGCGGCGUGCUUAACACAUGCAAGUCGAACGGAAAGGCCCCUUUGGGGGUACUCGAGUGGCGAACGGGUGAGUAACACGUGAGUAACCUGCCCUUGACUUCGGGAUAACUUCAGGAAACUGGGGCUAAUACCGGAUAGGAAUCCUUGCUGCAUGGUGGGGGUUGGAAAGCUUCGGCGGGUUUGGAUGGACUCGCGGCUUAUCAGCUUGUUGGUGGGGUAGUGGCUUACCAAGGCUUUGACGGGUAGCCGGCCUGAGAGGGCGACCGGCCACAUUGGGACUGAGAUACGGCCCAGACUCCUACGGGAGGCAGCAGUGGGGAAGAUUGCACAAGGGGCGGAAGCCUGAUGCAGCAACGCCGCGUGCGGGAUGACGGCCUUCGGGUUGUAAACCGCUUUCAGCAGGGGCGAAGCUUGUGGUGACGGUACCUGCAGAAGAAGCACCGGCUAACUACGUG